RNAcentral lists this ribosomal RNA (432 nucleotides) under uncultured bacterium. RNAcentral's name for it is "partial 16S ribosomal RNA". It matches the Rfam family "Bacterial small subunit ribosomal RNA", at positions 29 to 507 of the family's 1533-position model. The record is from RNAcentral.
ACGAACGCUGGCGGCAGGCUUAACACAUGCAAGUCGAGCGCAUCCUUCGGGGUGAGCGGCAGACGGGUGAGUAACGCGUGGGAAUCUACCUUUUGCUACGGAAUAGCUCCGGGAAACUGGAAUUAAUACCGUAUGUGCCCUUAGGGGGAAAGAUUUAUCGGCAAGAGAUGAGCCCGCGUUGGAUUAGCUAGUUGGUGGGGUAAAGGCCUACCAAGGCGACGAUCCAUAGCUGGUCUGAGAGGAUGAUCAGCCACAUUGGGACUGAGACACGGCCCAAACUCCUACGGGAGGCAGCAGUGGGGAAUAUUGGACAAUGGGCGCAAGCCUGAUCCAGCCAUGCCGCGUGAGUGAUGAAGGCCUUAGGGUUGUAAAGCUCUUUCACCGGAGAAGAUAAUGACGGUAUCCGGAGAAGAAGCCCCGGCUAACUUCGUG